Molecule: non-coding RNA, 4396 nt
Organism: Oryctolagus cuniculus (rabbit)
Lineage: Eukaryota; Metazoa; Chordata; Mammalia; Lagomorpha; Leporidae
Source: RefSeq, a predicted model, not a curated record
GACUUAUUUAUUUAUUUGAGAGGUAGAGUUACAGACAGAGAGAGGGAGAGACAGAGAGAAAGGUUUUUCAUCUGCUGGUUCACUCUGAGCCAAUCUGAAAACCAGGAUCCAGGAAAUUCUUCAGGGUCUCCCAUGUAGGUGCAGUUGCCCAAGUAAUUGGACGAUCUACACUGCUUUCCCAGACCAUAAAAAGAGAGAGGGAUCAGAAGAGGAGCAGCUGCAACAUGUGGGAUGCAGGCGCUAAAGGCAGAGGCUGAGCCUACUACGCCACAGUGCCGGCCUCCUCGUUUCACUUUUUAUGUUCAUGUUUACCUCAGGUUAGCUGACUAUACUCUUUCUGACCUAUACCAGGCCAUAGGCAAAAGGUAUGGCCUUUAGAUUCACAGUGUCAUAGGAUAAUUCUUUUUUUAAAAACUUCUUAUUAAAAAUGAACUUCUUAUUAAAAAUUCUUAUUUUAAAUUUUAUUUUUUAUAAAAUGCAUUUGUAGAAAUGUUUCAUUAAAUACUGGUCCUACAAAAAUAAAAAUAAAGCAAACAUACAUGUUACAUAUGUUACUUAGACAUAAACACACAUUAUUUACAAGUUCAAAAAUUCAAAAACUCCAGCAAGUUUCUCCAUGAUUCUCAACAAAUCUGAUAAGUAGAGGAAACAAUAAUAGCACAAAUACACUACACACUAUGCAUAUUUUUGUUUUUGAAAAAUUAAUCAUUACAAAUAUAUGAACACAGGGCUGGCGCCAUGGCUCACUUGGUUAAUCCUCCACCUGCAUCCCAUAUGGGUGCCGGGUUCUAGUCCCAGCUGCUCCUCUUCCAGUCCAGCUCUCUGCUGUGACCCAGGAGGGCAGUGGAGGAUGGCCCAAGUGCUUGGGCCCUGCACCCACAUGGGAGACCAGGAGGAAGCACCUGGCUCCUGGCUUCGGAUUGGCACAGCGCCGGCCAUAGCAGCCAUUUGGGGAGUGAACCAAUGGAAGGAAGAACUUUCCCUCUGUCUGUCUCUCUCUCUCUCUCACUGUCUAUAACUCUACCUGUCAAAUAAUAUACAUAUAUAUGAACACAAGAAGUGUGGGAGUGUACAUUCUAAGAGCAAAGUUUGGUUUACUAUUUUAUUCUAAUUUUCCAAACUAGACCCUACUGGAAAUCAUCCAAUCCUUUCCACUCAAAUCACUUUGCUUAAAGCAUAACACGCAAACUGGUAAGAAGAGGAGCAAACGAGUCUGUAAUUCCAUUGUCAUCUCUGGUAUUAGGAGCUAUCUGUAUUCUACUUUGCUUUACUAAUUUAUUUAGUAUUUAAAAUAGUCCAGGCCGGCGCCGUGGCUCAAUAGGCUAAUCCUCUGCCUAGCGGCGUCAGCACACCAGGUUCUAGUCCUGGUCGGGGCGCCAGAUUCUGCCCCGGUUGCCCCUCUUCCAGUCCAGCUCUCUGCUAUGGCCAGGGAGUGCAGUGGAGGAUGGCCCAAGUGCUUGGGCCCUGCACCCCAUGGGAGACCAGGAUAAGCACCUGGCUCCUGCCAUCGGAUCAGCGCGGUGUGCAGGCAGCAGCACGCCAGCUGUGGCGGCCAUUGGAGGAUGAACCAACUGCAAAAGGAAGACCUUUCUCUCUGUCUCUCUCUCUCUCACUGUCCACUCUGCCUGUCAAAAAAAAUAGUCCAAAGUCAUAAUUCAUUUAUCAGGCACUCUCUUUUUGUGAGGUACUAUUAAUUAGUUUCUCCAUGUUAACUGAUAAUGGUGAUAUUGGAGAUUAAUUUAUGAGUUAGUCUGGUUAUUGCUGAGUCGCAAGCUUCCUGAGCUACAUUAUAUUGCAUUUCUUUAGUACUGUCAUGUUCUUUUUCCAUUGAGUAUACUUUGGUAAAUUUGGGUUAUGCUGAGUUUCCUGAUUUAGGUUCAUAAAUUAUUAUUUUUUAAAGAUUUAUUUAUUGUACUGAAAGUCACAGUUAUACAGAGACAGGAGAGGCAGAGAGAGAGAGAGAGAAAGAGAGACAGAGAGAGCGAGAGAGAGAGAGGUCUUCCAUCCACUGCUUCACUCCCCAGAUGGCUGCAACAGCCAGAGCUGAGCUGAUCUGAAGCCAGGAUCCAGGAGCCAGGAGCCUCCUCUGGGCCUCCCACAGGGGUGCAGGGGCCCAAGGAAUUGGGCCAUCUUCUACUGCUUUCCCAUAGGCCCAUAAAUUAUUAACUGGAGUGCUGGAGAUAUUACCUAAGCCCUGAUUUUUUAUUAUUUGUUUAUUACACUUGAGAUAAACCCACUUUACUAUGAAGUUAAAUGAUACUGUGAAGACAUCAUUUCCUACUAUGUGUUUAAGACAUAAUAAACACUUAAGUGGGCCAGUGCCGUGGCUCACUAGGCUAAUCCUCCGGGCUGACACACAGGUUCUAGUCCCGGUCGGAGCGCCGGAUUCUGUCCCGGUUGCCCCUUUUCCAGGCCAGCUCUCUGCUAUGGCCCGGGAGUGCAGUGGAGGAUGGCCCAAGUGCUUGGGCCCUGCACCCCAUGGGAGACCAGGAGAAGCACCUGGCUCCUGGCUUUGGAUCAGCGUGGUGCGCCAGUCACAGUGCGCCGGCUGCGGUGGCCAUUGGAAGGUGAACCAAUGGCAAAAGGAAGACCUUUCUCUCUGUCUCUCUCUCUCUCUCUCACUGUCCACUCUGCCUGUCAAAAAAAAAAAAAAAAAAAAAAACCAAACACUUAAGUAAUGACUUAUACGUCUUUUUUUUAUUUAAAAACUACUGACUUUUUCAUUUUAUCUAUUUGAAAGGCAGAAUGAUGAUAGAUAGAUACAUAGAUAGAUCGCUCUAAACCAUUCAGUUGUCACUUGUUUUUUACUCUAAAAUAAGUCACCGUCUAUAACAUUCCAAAAAUUACAUAAAGCUAAUAGAAAAAUUCCAGUAAUUUAAACUUUUCUUUAAUUCCUUGAAGUGGCUUGAUAUAUGAAUUGUAUUGUUAGUUAUCUCUAUACCUUGAUUUUACUGUCUGUAAGAAGAUGACAAUACCAGGAAGCUCUCUCUACCUCAUACAAUUUUGAAUUAGCCAGCUGAAGGAAUGCAUACAUCAUCCCAUGUCAUGCUUUAUAAAGCAUGAAGUUAGGAUAAUGAGGUGGUGAGAGCAUGAGCUUGGAGGUCAAACCUGUCUGGGUCCCCUGGCUGCCCUGCCAUUUAAUAACUGUGUGCCACUGAACACUGUGUAACUGCUCUGCAUUUCAGAUUCGUCAUCAGGAAAUAUCAUGCUAAUGAAUAACUCCAGAGAUGUCUGUGUGGAUUAGGCCAGACAAUGCAGAUAAAGUCCUUGGCACGGAGUGCAGAGUGGCGCACAAAGUCUCUUUGAAGUACCCUUGUAUCUUGUCCUGUACUCACUCAUCUUUCUUAACUAUGUGAAGUGAUACAACGUCUAGAUGACAAGAUGAAAUGUCAGCAUACAUCUGAGAGCUUAAAAUACACACCUACAUUAUCUUAUGAUCUCUGUAGCACAGGAGUCCAGCAUCUCUUGGCUGGGUCCUCUGCUUCUGAGUCUCUUACUAAAUUGCUGUUGUUCAGAGCUGGAAUCUCCUGCAAGGCUCAGCUGAUGAAGGAUCCACUCCCCAGCUUACUGUAGUGUUGGAGGGUGCAGUUGCUUGCAGAUUGCUGAAUCGAAGGCCCAAUUCCAUCAUCAGCUAUUGCCAGAGUCUUUCCUCAUUCUUUUGUUACAUUACUUUGUAUCCUAUUGAGUAAAUGAAUACAGUAAAUUCUACCUGCACUAAUAAAUAGAGGAUUACACAAGGAAUCCAGAAGGUUGGAGGAUGCCUGCAGAUUAUUGGAGACACUCAGCCACAAAUCGCAAUCCAUGGAAUAACUGGAAAUUUCACACAAUGCUUGUGGAAAGUAAAAUAGUAUUAUCACUUUGUAAAAGACAUUUUGGCAGUUCCUUAUGAUUUUAAAUGUAUACCUACCAUAUAACUCAACAGACAUCAUUUUCUUGGCAUUUUCAUAGAAGAAAUAAAGGCACAAGUGCUGCUGCAAGAAAUUUUACAGUAGUUGUACGUACAAUAGACACAACUUGGAAACAACCCAAGCAGCCAUGGAUGUACAGAAGACGAAACAGUCUGUAGCAUGCUCACACUCAACAAAAAAUGCAAUGAACAACUGGUCUAUACAAGAUGAAUGAUGAAAAGAUUCUGAGUGAAGUAAGCUAGAGUUUAAAUGAUACUUAUGGUAUGAUUACAUUUUUAUAAAAUUGCAUGAAAAAAAUUGCAGGGAUUGAAAGCAGAAGAGUGACUGACUGCGCGGGGAUGUGUAGAGACUUGGUGGUGGUGGGGUGACAGGAGCGAUUGUGAAAGGACAUGAGAAUGUGUCUGGUGAUAGACCUGUUCAAUUUUUUGCCUGUGGUGGUGAUUUCAUGGAACAUACGGGAGAUGAAAUAGACACUUUCAAUGUGUGCA